This 253-nucleotide ribosomal RNA is filed under the name uncultured bacterium. RNAcentral describes it as "partial 16S ribosomal RNA". It matches the Rfam family "Bacterial small subunit ribosomal RNA", at positions 524 to 776 of the family's 1533-position model. The record is from RNAcentral.
GACAGAGGGUGCGAACGUUGCUCGGAGUUACUGGGCGUAAAGCGUGUGUAGGCGGUCAUGCACGUCGGGUGUGAAAGCCCGGGGCUCAACCCCGGAAGUGCAUCCGAAACGACGUGACUGGAGUGGUGGAGAGGAGAGCGGAAUUCUCGGUGUAGAGGUGAAAUUCGUAGAUAUCGGGAGGAACACCAGUGGCGCAGGCGGCUCUCUGGACACACACUGACGCUGAGACACGAAAGCGUGGGGAGCAAACAGG